This 212-nucleotide unclassified non-coding RNA is filed under the name Basidiomycota sp. RNAcentral's name for it is "partial contains small subunit ribosomal RNA, internal transcribed spacer 1, and 5.8S ribosomal RNA". The stretch from base 1 to 47 matches the Rfam family "Eukaryotic small subunit ribosomal RNA", at positions 1785 to 1831 of the family's 1831-position model. The record is from RNAcentral. Lineage: Eukaryota; Fungi; Basidiomycota.
AAAGUCAUAACAAGGUUUCCGUAGGUGAACCUGCGGAAGGAUCAUUAAUAAUGCCCUCUGAUUUCGGUCAGCUGGGUUCAAUGUGUGCCAUCUCUUCGGAGGUGGCCAUCCACACACACCGUGAACUGUGGCUUCGGCCAUCACAAACUAUUAGUAAUGAAUGUAAAAAUCAUAACAAAAUAAAACUUUUAACAACGGAUCUCUUGGCUCUC